RNAcentral lists this ribosomal RNA (440 nucleotides) under uncultured bacterium. RNAcentral describes it as "bacterial SSU rRNA". It matches the Rfam family "Bacterial small subunit ribosomal RNA", at positions 338 to 795 of the family's 1533-position model. The record is from RNAcentral.
CCUACGGGGGGCUGCAGUGGGGAAUAUUGCACAAUGGGGGAAACCCUGAUGCAGCAACGCCGCGUGAGUGAUGAAGGCCUUCGGGUCGUAAAGCUCUGUCCUAAGGGAAGAAUACUGACGGUACCUUAGGAGGAAGCCCCGGCUAACUACGUGCCAGCAGCCGCGGUAAUACGUAGGGGGCGAGCGUUGUCCGGAAUCACUGGGCGUAAAGGGUACGUAGGCGGCCAGGUAAGUCAGAUGUGAAAGGCAUGGGUUCAACCCAUGCAAGCAUUUGAAACUGAUUGGCUUGAGUCGAGGAGAGGAAAGAGGAAUUCUUGGUGUCGAGGUGAAAUGCGUAGACAUCAGGAGGAAUACCAGUGGGGAAGGCGGCAUGCUGGCAUUUGAUUGACUAUAAGGUACGGAAGCGUGGGGAACAAACAGGAUUAGAUACCCCAUUAGUC